GUUUUUUGUUCAUGUAUU
This 18-nucleotide small RNA is filed under the name Arabidopsis thaliana (thale cress). Its description in RNAcentral is "ATSL172170". Lineage: Eukaryota; Viridiplantae; Streptophyta; Magnoliopsida; Brassicales; Brassicaceae. The record is from RNAcentral.